RNAcentral lists this ribosomal RNA (907 nucleotides) under Microbacterium paraoxydans. RNAcentral's name for it is "bacterial SSU rRNA". It matches the Rfam family "Bacterial small subunit ribosomal RNA", at positions 40 to 954 of the family's 1533-position model. The record is from RNAcentral. Lineage: Bacteria; Bacillati; Actinomycetota; Actinomycetes; Micrococcales; Microbacteriaceae.
CACCUGCGCCUCUUAAAUGCAGUCGAACGGUGAACACGGAGCUUGCUCUGUGGGAUCAGUGGCGAACGGGUGAGUAACACGUGAGCAACCUGCCCCUGACUCUGGGAUAAGCGCUGGAAACGGCGUCUAAUACUGGAUAUGUGACGUGACCGCAUGGUCUGCGUUUGGAAAGAUUUUUCGGUUGGGGAUGGGCUCGCGGCCUAUCAGCUUGUUGGUGAGGUAAUGGCUCACCAAGGCGUCGACGGGUAGCCGGCCUGAGAGGGUGACCGGCCACACUGGGACUGAGACACGGCCCAGACUCCUACGGGAGGCAGCAGUGGGGAAUAUUGCACAAUGGGCGAAAGCCUGAUGCAGCAACGCCGCGUGAGGGAUGACGGCCUUCGGGUUGUAAACCUCUUUUAGCAGGGAAGAAGCGAAAGUGACGGUACCUGCAGAAAAAGCGCCGGCUAACUACGUGCCAGCAGCCGCGGUAAUACGUAGGGCGCAAGCGUUAUCCGGAAUUAUUGGGCGUAAAGAGCUCGUAGGCGGUUUGUCGCGUCUGCUGUGAAAUCCCGAGGCUCAACCUCGGGCCUGCAGUGGGUACGGGCAGACUAGAGUGCGGUAGGGGAGAUUGGAAUUCCUGGUGUAGCGGUGGAAUGCGCAGAUAUCAGGAGGAACACCGAUGGCGAAGGCAGAUCUCUGGGCCGUAACUGACGCUGAGGAGCGAAAGGGUGGGGAGCAAACAGGCUUAGAUACCCUGGUAGUCCACCCCGUAAACGUUGGGAACUAGUUGUGGGGUCCAUUCCACGGAUUCCGUGACGCAGCUAACGCAUUAAGUUCCCCGCCUGGGGAGUACGGCCGCAAGGCUAAAACUCAAAGGAAUUGACGGGGACUCCGCACAAGCGGCGGAGCAUGCGGAUUAAUUCCG